RNAcentral lists this long non-coding RNA (1413 nucleotides) under Balaenoptera musculus (blue whale). Its description in RNAcentral is "lncRNA (ENSBMSG00010020976.1)". Lineage: Eukaryota; Metazoa; Chordata; Mammalia; Artiodactyla; Balaenopteridae. The record is from RNAcentral.
AGUGUCAGCUGCUGUAAAGCUCCCCAGACGCCAGCAUGAGGCUCCAUUACCUCCUCGCGACCCUCUUCGUGCUCCUCCUGUUGCCUGUGUCGGGUUUUACUCAAUUAACAAGAAGUCGUCACAGCUGCCAUUGGAAUGGAGGUGUCUGUACACUGUUCCAGUGCCCUCCAAAUAUGAGACAGGUCAGCACCUGUUUCUGGCACUGGGUAAAAUGCUGCAAGAGGAGAUAAUAAGAAGGCGAAGAAACGGCUGUGACAGAAGUGGUCAGAAACUGCGCCCUUCAAAAAAUCAUAUAAAAUUUAAACCAGAUUCAACUUCUAUGUUCAAAGGCAAAGACUCUAGGCCUCUGGCCAGUGCGGUUGUUGUGUGGUGUGUGAUUACAGGCGACCACCGAAACCCUUGAGGGCGCUCUCCUAAGCUCCCCGUACUAACCAUCUGGGACACCACAGUGGCAUGCUCCUGUUCCUUGGGGCCACCUGACCUUCCCCAGCCCCCCUUUGUGCUGUCCAAUGAUGUGUGCUUUGUCCUUCCUGCUUCCCGCCCCAGGGUGCCCCUACCUAACCCACAUCACCCCUCAAGCACACACCCCGUUGGUCCAGUCCCACCAGAUCACCACCUCCCUCGGGAAACCACAACCGACCUGCCCAGGGGGAAACCCCUCUCUCCUCUGUUUUCCCCAAGUCCCCACUGCCUUUUGGUUUACGCUUCUUACUUAUAUGCCUUGUGCACAUGUGGAUAAACUUCUAAUUCUCUCCUGGGCUAUGAGAUCUCUACGGGCGUGGACUUUGUCCUGUGCACGUAUGUGCUGGUCACUGAGGGGAGACAUUGCUUCAUAAACUAUUAUCAAUUGAAUGACAAAGCUGACUUGGACAAAGCAUGUCUCUCCAUGUGGACAUGAUGCAAUGCAAGUAAAUGCUGUGGAAAAACAAGUCCUUACGGAAAGCACAAUUCAAUGAAGGCAAUAUACCGCGGAACACAGGAAGAAGGGACUGAACACCAAAAGAAAGAGACCGUAGACAGCAAGGGGAAGGAUGAGGAUGCUGACCUCACCCUGCUCUCAAUUCCUCCGGAGGGUUUGGUGGUUAAAUCAAGAACCCUGCUGAUUUAUCCUGCAUGUGUGAGCAGCUCUCUGGCUCUUUACACUAACUUUUCACUCAAUGCAAGUUGAGGUCACCAAUGUGAUGGUGUUAGGAGAUGGUGCCUUUGGGAGGUCAUUAGGUCAUGAGGGUGGAGCCCUCAUGGGUGGUAUGAGUAUCCUUAUGAAAAAGACUCCAGAGAGAUCUCUUGCCCCUUCUGCCAUGCGAGGACACAGGGAGAAGGCAGCCGUCCACCAGACACCUGCUCUGUCUUGAUCAUGGACUUCUCAGCCUCCCAAACUGUGAGAAGUAAAUGUCUGUUGUUUAUAAGCCACCC